AUGUAAUGAUUUGGGUAAUUAUCUGCACAGUCUUGAUUCGCUGCUUGAGAUGUGCUUUUUGUCUGAUUAAUCUUGGUUUCUGGGCUGGACGCGUGGAUGCAAUCGCUGAGGUUUGUUUUGAGAUGCGGUGUUCACGAUGAGUUAGUACAUGAUGCUGUUGUAAAGCUUUACAUAGACAGUUGGAAUUCGUGCUUUGUUCGAAAUGUCUCUCCUGCUGAUGGCAGAUCUCUUCAGCUUGUUGCUAGCAACCAGGAAGAGUGCUUUAGCAACCAAAAGGAAAAAGCAACCAGAAAGA
Rhodamnia argentea is the source of this 295-nucleotide long non-coding RNA. RefSeq lists it as uncharacterized. The transcript is spliced from 2 exons. Lineage: Eukaryota; Viridiplantae; Streptophyta; Magnoliopsida; Myrtales; Myrtaceae. The record is from RefSeq and is a predicted model, not a curated record.